This 213-nucleotide small RNA is filed under the name Paenibacillus sp. RNAcentral's name for it is "c-di-AMP sequence". It matches the Rfam family "c-di-AMP riboswitch aptamer (ydaO/yuaA leader)". From Rfam's summary of the family: This family represents a conserved RNA structure found upstream of the ydaO and yuaA genes in Bacillus subtilis and related genes in other bacteria. The ydaO/yuaA element is thought to act as a genetic "off" switch for the ydaO and yuaA genes in its native state. The record is from RNAcentral. Lineage: Bacteria; Bacillati; Bacillota; Bacilli; Caryophanales; Paenibacillaceae. RNAcentral also lists the same sequence under 1 other name.
GAACCAGUCUCGCUGAAUCUCCUAUGACGGAGAACGGGGGAACCAAUACGGAUUGCAGUUGGCGAUAGCCUGUAUGCGUUCGUAUUCGAUUUCUUUCCAGGGUCUAUGGGGUGAAUUCAAGGUCAUUGCGCCAUGAGCGAAUGUACUGAGAAAGGGCGGCUCUCUUUCGCCCGAACCCGACAGCUAACCUCGUAAGCGAAUAAGAGAGGUCAC